AGCUAACGCAUUAAGCACUCCGCCUGGGGAGUACGGUCGCAAGACUGAAACUCAAAGGAAUUGACGGGGGCCCGCACAACGGAGCAUGUGGUUUAAUUGAAGCAACGCGAAGAACCUUACCAGGUCUUGACAUCCUCUGACAAUCCUAGAGAUAGGACGUCCCCUUCGGGGGCAGAGUGACAGGUGGUGCAUGGUUGUCGUCAGCUCGUGUCGUGAGAUGUUGGGUUAAGUCCCGCAACGAGCGCAACCCUUGAUCUUAGUUGCCAGCAUUCAGUUGGGCACUCUAAGGUGACUGCCGGUGACAAACCGGAGGAAGGUGGGGAUGACGUCAAAUCAUCAUGCCCCUUAUGACCUGGGCUACACACGUGCUACAAUGGACAGAACAAAGGGCAGCGAAACCGCGAGGUUAAGCCAAUCCCACAAAUCUGUUUCGUUCGGAUCGCAGUCUGCAACUCGACUGCGUGAAGCUGGAAUCGCUAGUAAUGCAGAU
Molecule: ribosomal RNA, 490 nt
Filed under: Bacillus sp. (in: firmicutes)
Lineage: Bacteria; Bacillati; Bacillota; Bacilli; Caryophanales; Bacillaceae
Description: bacterial SSU rRNA
Rfam family: Bacterial small subunit ribosomal RNA
Source: RNAcentral